UAAAAAGUUCGUAGUUGGAUUUCUGUCGGAGACCUCCGGUCCGCACUAUGUGCGUGUAUCUGUAGGGUUCUGGCAUCCUUCCGAAAGACGUCGCUAUGCUUAACUGCACGGUGCGGAGUUCGGAACUUUUACUUUGAGGAAAUUAGAGUGUUCACGGCAGGCCAACGCCUUGAAUAUAUUAGCAUGGAAUAAUAAUAUAGGAUUUCGGUUCUAUUUUGUUGGUUUCUAGGGCUGAAAUAAUGAUUAAUAGGGACAAUUGGGGGCAUUCGUAUUAAGGCGUCAGAGGUGGAAUUCUUAGAUUGCCUUACGACGAACUACUGCGAAAGCAUUUGCCAAGGAUGUUUUCAUUGAUCAAGAGCGAAAGUAAGGGGAUCGAAGACGAUUAGAUACCGUCGUAGUCUUUACCAUAAACUAUGCCAACUAAGGAUGGGGCGUCGUUAUUUUUUGACUCGCUCUGCACUUUAUGAGAAAUCAAAGUCUUUGGGUUCCGGGGGGAGUAUGGUCGCAAGGCUGAAACUUAAAGGAAUUGACGGAAGGGCACCACCAGGAGUGGAGCCUGCGGCUUAAUUUGACUCAACACGGGAAAACUCACCAGGUCCAGACAUAGUA
This 609-nucleotide ribosomal RNA is filed under the name uncultured marine picoplankton. Its description in RNAcentral is "SSU rRNA". It matches the Rfam family "Eukaryotic small subunit ribosomal RNA", at positions 620 to 1235 of the family's 1831-position model. The record is from RNAcentral.